This 275-nucleotide long non-coding RNA is filed under the name Medicago truncatula (barrel medic). RNAcentral's name for it is "long non-coding RNA (MTRU_LNC002838)". Lineage: Eukaryota; Viridiplantae; Streptophyta; Magnoliopsida; Fabales; Fabaceae. The record is from RNAcentral.
UCAGAAAAAAUUGAAAAUUGGUGUUGUUCUUCAACCUUGGAUUCAAUUGGGUGUUGUGCUAGUUAACCAAAUUGGAUUUAGCACCAAAAUCACUUUUCUUAAUAAUUAAUUUUUGGGUUUUUAUUGCUGGAUUUUUUCAACUGCUAGUUGUAGUUGUUGUGGAUGUUUUGAAGAUUUUGGUUGAUUUUCCCAUUGUUAUUGAAUCUGGAAAAAAAAAUUAGGAAAUAGAUAUGAAGAUUUUGGUUGAUUUGUUUUAGGGAGAUUGAGAAAUUGUG